UACGGGGGGGGCAAGCGUUGUUCGGAAUUACUGGGCGUAAAGGGCGCGUAGGCGGCCUGCUAAGUCGGACGUGAAAUCCCUCGGCUCAACCGGGGAACUGCGUCCGAUACUGGUGGGUUCGAAUCCGGGAGAGGGAUGUGGAAUUCCAGGUGUAGCGGUGAAAUGCGUAGAUAUCUGGAGGAACACCGGUGGCGAAGGCGGCAUCCUGGACCGAGAUUGACGCUGAUGAGCGAAAGCUAGGGGAGCAAACGGG
RNAcentral lists this ribosomal RNA (253 nucleotides) under uncultured bacterium. Its description in RNAcentral is "partial 16S ribosomal RNA". It matches the Rfam family "Bacterial small subunit ribosomal RNA", at positions 524 to 776 of the family's 1533-position model. The record is from RNAcentral.